CAUCGUGAGGUGGAAUCUGAAGGAAGCCGGAUGGCGAAUCUCUGGCCUGACGGACAGAAAUCACAUCAGGCAUUUCUAGGUGGGUAAGGCUGCCAAACAAGCUAAAGCCCCAAAACUGCACGGAACCUAGAGUGUAGAUGUGGCAGGUAGGUGGAGAGAAAGAAG
This 165-nucleotide non-coding RNA is filed under the name Paraeggerthella hongkongensis. The record is from RNAcentral. Lineage: Bacteria; Bacillati; Actinomycetota; Coriobacteriia; Eggerthellales; Eggerthellaceae.